AGCAGCCGCGGUAAUUCCAGCUCCAAUAGCGUAUAUUAAAGUUGUUGCAGUUAAAAAGCUCGUAGUUGAAUUUCGGGAUCAAUUAAUCGGUCGUGCCUCUGGUACGCACUGGUUUUAUUGGUUUCUCCCUUCUGACGAACCAGGAUGUCAUUAAUUUGGUGUCUUGGAGAAUCAGGACUGUUACUUUGAAAAAAUUAGAGUGUUUAAAGCAGGCUUCUAGGCAUGAAUACAUUAGCAUGGAAUAAUGAAAUAGGACGUUUGAUCCUAUUUUGUUGGUUUCUAGGAUCGACGUAAUGAUUAAUAGGGAUAGUUGGGGGCAUUAGUAUUCAAUUGUCAGAGGUGAAAUUCUUGGAUUUAUUGAAGACUAACUAUUGCGAAAGCAUUUGCCAAGGAUGUUUUCAUUAAUCAAGAACGAAAGUUAGGGGAUCGAAGACGAUCAGAUACCGUCGUAGUCUUAACCAUAAACUAUGCCGACUAGGGAUCGGAUGAUGUUAAUUUUUUAAUGACUCAUUCGGCGCCUUACG
This 524-nucleotide ribosomal RNA is filed under the name uncultured Glomus. Its description in RNAcentral is "SSU rRNA". It matches the Rfam family "Eukaryotic small subunit ribosomal RNA", at positions 569 to 1092 of the family's 1831-position model. Lineage: Eukaryota; Fungi; Glomeromycota; Glomeromycetes; Glomerales; Glomeraceae. The record is from RNAcentral.